Molecule: ribosomal RNA, 1127 nt
Filed under: Cryptomonas sp. M2195
Lineage: Eukaryota; Cryptophyceae; Cryptomonadales; Cryptomonadaceae
Description: eukaryotic LSU rRNA
Rfam family: Eukaryotic large subunit ribosomal RNA
Source: RNAcentral
AUUCGUUCUCAAAUCAGGUGAGACUACCCGCUGAACUUAAGCAUAUCACUAAGCGGAGGAAAAGAAACUAACCAGGAUUCCCCUAGUAACGGCGAGUGAACAGGGAAGAGCUCAAGCCUAAAAUCUUCGGAAUUGUAGUCUAUGGUGUGAUCUUUUGCAUCCCCGGGUAUAAAUCUGUUCUUGGAAUAGGGUGCCAAAGAGGGUUAGAGCCCCGUCUUUGACUCGGUUGGAUGUGAGUGAUAAGGUCACUUCUAGAGAGUCGGCUUGCUUGGGAAUGCAGGCCAAAUUGGGUGGUAAACUCCAUCUAAAGCUAAAUAUUGGCGAGAGACCGAUAGCGAACAAGUACUGUGAAGGAAAGAUGGAAAGAACUUUGAAAAGAGAGUGAAAAAGGGCUUGAAAUUGUUGAGAGGAGAAGUGAUUGGAGCUCUAUCCUGCGUGGUGGGAUUCAGCAGGUACAGCUUGCUAUACCUGUCAUCAUGCCACCAUGCUGGCCAGCAUCAGUUUUCUGUGGGGGACAAGGCAUCGAGGGCAUUUUGGCUCUUUGCACAUGACCUGUGGAAGACUGAGGCACUAAGGGUGCGCCUAGCGACCGGCCCAUGGCAAGUCUACUUUCUAGGUUACACAAUUCGUUGUUUGAUCUAGGAAGUGGGAUUGGUGCUGUGGAGCGCUGGAUCCUGCAACCUGAAGAUGCUGGCACAAUGGCUUCAACCAGCCCGUCUUGAAACACGGACCAAGGAGUCUAACACAUAUGCGAGUAGUAAGGUGGCAAACCUUGGAUGCGAAAUGAAGGUGAAAGUGUGGGAUCCCGCAAGGGUGCACCAUCGACCGACCAGGAUCUACUGUGACAGGUUUGAGUAAGAGCAUAUUUGUUGGGACCCGAAAGAUGGUGAACUAUGCCUGAAUAGGGUGAAGCCAGAGGAAACUCUGGUGGAGGCUCGUAGCGGUACUGACGUGCAAAUCGUUCGUCAAAUUUGGGUAUAGGGGCGAAAGACUAAUCGAACCAUCUAGUAGCUGGUUCCCUCCGAAGUUUCCCUCAGGAUAGCUGGAGCUCUCACAAGUUUUAUCGGGUAAAGCGAAUGAUUAGAGGCCUCGGGGGUGCACACUCUCGGCCUAUUCUCAAACUUUAA